AUACAGUUGUGCUUGUCAUAGAACUGUUUAUUGUGCACGUAAAUUUUUGGAUUAUAUGGAUAAAUUUCGAAGUAGUUAAUUAUAAAAUGGAUGUACUGAUAAGGCGUAUUUUCAAAACCAGCCAUGGCCAUAUAUUUUUAUUAUCAUCGAAGAAAAGGACAACACUAGAAGAAAAAGAAAAUUUAGAAGACGGAAUACAGAAAUAUGAGGGAUAAUAAGUUAUGUUACCCAGUUCACUUUUAUGAAGUUUGAGUUCAGAAGUUUGAGUUCAGAAGUUUGAGUUAAAAUUUAAAAAGUUUUGAGUUCAAUUUACAAGUUUGAAAGAUAUACAUGUACAUGUAUAAAGAUGGUUUUAUAAACUCUUUGGUGUUUCUCAUUUUUUCCCCAGAAUGUUUCUGGAUAUCUUCCUUCAGAUACAUGUAUACAACAGA
This is a long non-coding RNA of Patella vulgata (common limpet), 431 nucleotides long. RefSeq lists it as uncharacterized. The transcript is spliced from 3 exons. The record is from RefSeq and is a predicted model, not a curated record. NCBI's taxonomy places the organism in Eukaryota, Metazoa, Mollusca, Gastropoda, Patellidae.